RNAcentral lists this ribosomal RNA (384 nucleotides) under uncultured bacterium. RNAcentral's name for it is "bacterial SSU rRNA". It matches the Rfam family "Bacterial small subunit ribosomal RNA", at positions 28 to 417 of the family's 1533-position model. The record is from RNAcentral.
GACGAACGCUGGCGGCGUGCUUAACACAUGCAAGUCGAGCGGUAAGGCCCUUCGGGGUACACGAGCGGCGAACGGGUGAGUAACACGUGGGUGACCUGCCCUUAGCUCUGGGAUAAGCCUGGGAAACUGGGUCUAAUACCGGAUAUGACCUCAUGACGCAUGUUGUGGGGUGGAAAGCCUUGUGCGGCUAGGGAUGGGCCCGCGGCCUAUCAGCUUGUUGGUGGGGUGAUGGCCACCAAGGCGACGACGGGUAGCCGGCCUGAGAGGGCGACCGGCCACACUGGGACUGAGACACGGCCCAGACUCCUACGGGAGGCAGCAGUGGGGAAUCUUGCGCAAUGGCGAAAGCCUGACGCAGCGACGCCGCGUGAGGGAUGACGGCCU